CAGUAGCCGCGGUAAUACGUAGGGUGCAAGCGUUAAUCGGAAUUACUGGGCGUAAAGCGUGCGCAGGCGGUGUUGUAAGACUGAUGUGAAAUCCCCGGGCUCAACCUGGGAACUGCAUUGGUGACUGCAACGCUGGAGUGCGGCAGAGGGGGAUGGAAUUCCGCGUGUAGCAGUGAAAUGCGUAGAUAUGCGGAGGAACACCGAUGGCGAAGGCAAUCCCCUGGGCCUGCACUGACGCUCAUGCACGAAAGCGUGGGGAGCAAACAGGAUUAGAUACCCGCGUAGUCCCUGUCUCUUAUAA
Molecule: ribosomal RNA, 301 nt
Filed under: uncultured bacterium
Lineage: Bacteria
Description: partial 16S ribosomal RNA
Rfam family: Bacterial small subunit ribosomal RNA
Source: RNAcentral